UUUUUAUGAGAUUUUGGGGUUGGGCUUGUUUUAAGAAAUUGAUGGCAGUUUUGUAAUUUAUAAGAAGUUAAAAGCUUUUUUGUUAUGUUGUAAAUGGGCUUUGGGUGUGUUUCUAAAGUCCAUUUUAUAUAGGGUAUUUUUAUAAUUUUGGCCCCCAUAUUGGGUAUAAUAGUGAAUCUCCCAAAUAAUAAACACCUUGCUUCUGAGUAGUUUUUUUAUUUAAAUUUUUUAUACUAUUUUGUUUUUUCGUUUUUCUUGAGUUUUUUUUACAAUAAUUUUUCAUAUGUAAUCUGAAAAUUAUGUGUAAAUGCUGUGGGAAAAUGCAAAUUAUCCUUUGAACAACUCAAAGGGUUUGGAAACAGUCAAUUUGGUAUGGGUCCAAAAUUGUUGAAGCGUGAGGUCCAACUUCUAAAAUAAUUAAUAAA
This 425-nucleotide long non-coding RNA is filed under the name Prunus persica (peach). RNAcentral describes it as "long non-coding RNA (PPER_LNC001203)". Lineage: Eukaryota; Viridiplantae; Streptophyta; Magnoliopsida; Rosales; Rosaceae. The record is from RNAcentral.